AGCUACACUCAAUUUGGCCUGUCCAAAUUUUUUUUUCAAAAAGUUUCAAAAUUUAUGUAAAUUUCGUUUCGUGUUCUUUGGUUAAAGUGUAAUCAUGCCUGGCAAAAAGCGAAGCUCUUCCAAAAAGUCAGCUAGCUCCUCCACACCGGUUGCCAACGAAUCGGAAGCGACAAGCCCCGAGGGCACCCCAGCAGAUGCUACCAAAACUGCUGAAAAGGAGGUCAAGAAGAGCAGAACCAAGAGCAAGUCCAAAUCCAAAAGCAAGAAGGAUUAAGCCAAACCGAAGAAUUGACUGGACAUAUGAUAUACACAAAAAAUAUUUGAGGACUUUAAAACAUUAUAAGUUUACAAAAAUUAAAGAGAAUACGCCUUGCAUAUUGAAGAUGCAGAACCGAUAGACUUGACGAUGUAUUUGGAAAAGAAAUGUUUGAUCUUAGCAAGAACUUGUUGAGCAAGUGUAAUUAAACCUUUUCAGAGCUGAACAUAUUCAAAAGAUGGAUAAUUUAUCACAACUUCAGAUCAUUACGUGACCAGGAAGAGGUCGCAAUUGUAACAAGGAGCAGCCCCUUUAAACAUUCAAAGCCGGCAUGUCAAGCCGUUUUAUACCUGCUCUAACUCAAGGCGUUGGAACUAUGAAACGAGCGUCGAUUGCAACUUGCUUAAUUAGUAGGUCCUUGAAGAUCAAAGUUAUGCAGAAAUUGAACCAAACGGCCCGAAUGAAUGUAAUUUACGUAUUUAACAGCACUGGAAACAAAAUUCUUUAAUUUUACCGAACUCACAAUUAAAUAAGGCUGGCAUAUAUAA
Drosophila novamexicana is the source of this 804-nucleotide long non-coding RNA. RefSeq lists it as uncharacterized. The record is from RefSeq and is a predicted model, not a curated record. The transcript is spliced from 3 exons. NCBI's taxonomy places the organism in Eukaryota, Metazoa, Arthropoda, Insecta, Diptera, Drosophilidae.